RNAcentral lists this ribosomal RNA (467 nucleotides) under uncultured bacterium. Its description in RNAcentral is "partial 16S ribosomal RNA". It matches the Rfam family "Bacterial small subunit ribosomal RNA", at positions 28 to 506 of the family's 1533-position model. The record is from RNAcentral.
GACGAACGCUGGCGGCGUGCUUAACACAUGCAAGUCGAACGGAAAGGCCCUGCUUUUGUGGGGUGCUCGAGUGGCGAACGGGUGAGUAACACGUGAGUAACCUGCCCUUGACUUUGGGAUAACUUCAGGAAACUGGGGCUAAUACCGGAUAGGAGCUCCUGCUGCAUGGUGGGGGUUGGAAAGUUUCGGCGUUUGGGGAUGGACUCGCGGCUAAUCAGCUUGUUGGUGGGGUAGUGGCUUACCAAGGCUUUGACGGGUAGCCGGCCUGUGAGGGUGACCGGCCACAUAGGGAGUGAGAGACGGACCAGACACCUACGGGAGGGAGGAGUGAGGAAGAUUGAACAAUGGACGGAAGCCUGAUGGAGCAACGCCGGGUGCGGGAUGACGGCCUGCGGGUUGUAAGCCGCUUUCGCCUGUGACGAAGCGUGAGUGACGGUAAUGGGUAAAGAAACACCGGCUAAUUACGU